AUUGAACGCUGGCGGCAGGCCUAACACAUGCAAGUCGAGCGGAUGAAGGGAGCUUGCUCCUGGAUUCAGCGGCGGACGGGUGAGUAAUGCCUAGGAAUCUGCCUGGUAGUGGGGGAUAACGUCCGGAAACGGGCGCUAAUACCGCAUACGUCCUGAGGGAGAAAGUGGGGGAUCUUCGGACCUCACGCUAUCAGAUGAGCCUAGGUCGGAUUAGCUAGUUGGUGGGGUAAAGGCCUACCAAGGCGACGAUCCGUAACUGGUCUGAGAGGAUGAUCAGUCACACUGGAACUGAGACACGGUCCAGACUCCUACGGGAGGCAGCAGUGGGGAAUAUUGGACAAUGGUCGAAAGCCUGAUCCAGCCAUGCCGCGUGUGUGAAGAAGGUCUUCGGAUUGUAAAGCACGUUAAGUUGGGAGGAAGGGCAGUAAGUUAAUACCUUGCUGUUUUGACGUUACCAACAGAAUAAGCACCGGCUAACUUCGUG
RNAcentral lists this ribosomal RNA (484 nucleotides) under uncultured bacterium. Its description in RNAcentral is "partial 16S ribosomal RNA". It matches the Rfam family "Bacterial small subunit ribosomal RNA", at positions 30 to 507 of the family's 1533-position model. The record is from RNAcentral.